GCCUGGGUGGCUUAAUUGGUUAAGCAUCUGACUCUUGUUUUAGCUCAGGUCAUGAUCUCACAGUUUGUAGGUUCGAGCCCCACGUCAGGCU
RNAcentral lists this transfer RNA (91 nucleotides) under Felis catus (domestic cat). It matches the Rfam family "tRNA". From Rfam's summary of the family: Transfer RNA (tRNA) molecules are approximately 80 nucleotides in length. Lineage: Eukaryota; Metazoa; Chordata; Mammalia; Carnivora; Felidae. RNAcentral also lists the same sequence under 4 other names. The record is from Rfam by way of RNAcentral.